This 251-nucleotide long non-coding RNA is filed under the name Ananas comosus (pineapple). Its description in RNAcentral is "long non-coding RNA (ACOM_LNC042302)". The record is from RNAcentral. Lineage: Eukaryota; Viridiplantae; Streptophyta; Magnoliopsida; Poales; Bromeliaceae.
AAUUUGAAAAGUCGGAUUUUUGGUCAGCUCUCGGGUAGCCUUCAGCAGGCCGUGUACAGGUACAGGUUGAUGGCUGUACCGGUACGGGGCCGAUGGUGUACCGGUACACAGGCAGUUUUGAGCCAACCCGAGGCUCGGGUUUGGCGUUUUCGUGGGAGGUGUACCGGUACGCAGGCCUGUGUACCGGUACGCAGUGGUAGAUUUUGAGCAGUUUGAACUGCAGGGGGGUUUUUGCGAUUAUGGCCUUCUAU